AUUGAACGCUAGCGGGAUGCUUUACACAUGCAAGUCGAACGAGUGGCGGACGGGUGAGUAAUAUAUCGGAACGUGCCCAAUGGAGGGGGAUAACUACUCGAAAGAGUGGCUAAUCCCGCAUACCAUUGGAUGGGCCGAUAUCGGAUUAGCUAGUUGGUGGGGUAAAGGCUCACCAAGGCAACGAUCCGUAGCUGGUGUGAGAGGCGGACCAGCCACACUGGGACUGAGACACGGCCCAGACUCCUACGGGAGGCAGCAGUGGGGAAUUUUGGACAAUGGGGGCAACCCUGAUCCAGCCAUCCCGCGUGUAUGAGAAGGCCUUCGGGUUGUAAAGUACUUUUGGCAGGGAAGCGUUAUCUGCAGAAUAAGCACCGGCUAACUACGUGCCAGCCGCCGCGGUAAUUC
This 405-nucleotide ribosomal RNA is filed under the name uncultured bacterium. RNAcentral describes it as "partial 16S ribosomal RNA". It matches the Rfam family "Bacterial small subunit ribosomal RNA", at positions 30 to 526 of the family's 1533-position model. The record is from RNAcentral.